UGGCCUACUAGCUAGCUCGCACUCAAAAUGCAAUGACAGAUUAUAAAUAACCCCUAAUACACCUUGAAUUCUCAAGACCAAACCAUUUUUCCCCCCAAGUAUGGGCGACAGAAAAG
RNAcentral lists this ribosomal RNA (116 nucleotides) under Ostorhinchus wassinki. Its description in RNAcentral is "partial 16S ribosomal RNA". The record is from RNAcentral. Lineage: Eukaryota; Metazoa; Chordata; Actinopteri; Kurtiformes; Apogonidae.